Molecule: ribosomal RNA, 1348 nt
Filed under: uncultured bacterium
Lineage: Bacteria
Description: bacterial SSU rRNA
Rfam family: Bacterial small subunit ribosomal RNA
Source: RNAcentral
GACGAACGCUGGCGGCGUGCUUAACACAUGCAAGUCGAACGGAAAGGCCCUGCUUUUGUGGGGUGCUCGAGUGGCGAACGGGUGAGUAACACGUGAGUAACCUGCCCUUGACUUUGGGAUAACUUCAGGAAACUGGGGCUAAUACCGGAUAGGAGCUCCUGCUGCAUGGUGGGGGUUGGAAAGUUUCGGCGGUUGGGGAUGGACUCGCGGCUUAUCAGCUUGUUGGUGGGGUAGUGGCUUACCAAGGCUUUGACGGGUAGCCGGCCUGAGAGGGUGACCGGCCACAUUGGGACUGAGAUACGGCCCAGACUCCUACGGGAGGCAGCAGUGGGGAAUAUUGCACAAUGGGCGGAAGCCUGAUGCAGCAACGCCGCGUGCGGGAUGACGGCCUUCGGGUUGUAAACCGCUUUCGCCUGUGACGAAGCGUGAGUGACGGCAAUGGGUAAAGAAGCACCGGCUAACUACGUGCCAGCAGCCGCGGUGAUACGUAGGGUGCGAGCGUUGUCCAGAUUUAUUGGGCGUAAAGGGCUCGUAGGUGGUUGAUCGCGUCGGGAAGUGUAAUCUUGGGGCUUAACCCUGAGCGUGCUUUCGAUACGGGUUGACUUGAGGAAGGUAGGGGAGAAUGGAAUUCCCUGGUGGAGCGGUGGAAUGCGCAGAUAUCAGGAGGAACACCAGUGGCGAAGGCGGUUCUCUGGGCCUUUCCUGACGCUGAGGAGCGAAAGCGUGGGGAGCGAACAGGCUUAGAUACCCUGGUAGUCCACGCUGUAAACGGUGGGUACUAGGUGUGGGGUCCAUUCCACGGGUUCCGUGCCGUAGCUAACGCUUUAAGUACCCCGCCUGGGGAGUACGGCCGCAAGGCUAAAACUCAAAGGAAUUGACGGGGCCCCGCACAAGCGGCGGAGCAUGCGGAUUAAUUCGAUGCAACGCGUAGAACCUUACCUGGGUUUGACAUGGAUCGGGAGCGCUCAGAGAUGGGUGUGCCUCUUUUGGGGUCGGUUCACAGGUGGUGCAUGGCUGUCGUCAGCUCGUGUCGUGAGAUGUUGGGUUAAGUCCCGCAACGAGCGCAACCCUUGUUCACUGUUGCCAGCACGUUAUGGUGGGGACUCAGUGGAGACCGCCGGGGUCAACUCGGAGGAAGGUGGGGAUGACGUCAAGUCAUCAUGCCCCUUAUGUCCAGGGCUUCACGCAUGCUACAAUGGCUGGUACAGAGAGUGGCGAGCCUGUGAGGGUGAGCGAAUCUCGGAAAGCCGGUCUCAGUUCGGAUUGGGGUCUGCAACUCGACCUCAUGAAGUCGGAGUCGCUAGUAAUCGCAGAUCAGCAACGCUGCGGUGAAUAAGGUCCCGGGGCU